GCGGGGCGCAUGCUCACACGCGCUCGUGACGUGCGCGCGGGGACCGGCCUGCCGGAGGCCGGGCCGAGACGGCGGCGGGCGGAGACCGGGAGCAGAGCAGAGCAGGGCAGAGCCGCGGAGCGGAGAGGAGGAGCAGAGCAGCAGAGCAGCGGCGGGAGCGCCGGCCGCCGCGCCCCCGAGCCCGCAGCCCCACCGCCCGGGCCUCGGCACGCGGGCUCCGGUCGCCGAGCGGCCACCCCCGAGCCGGCCGCCGCGGGCCGGGCCGGGCAUGAGCGCUGAGGGGCCGCGGCCGCCCCCCGCACCGCUCGGCGCGCCGAGGCCGUGACCGGGGCGGGGCGCGCGGCCGCACUCGGGCCCGGGCCCAUGGGCGCGCCGAGCCCGGCUCGGGGGCGCUGAGCGGGCGGGCGCGGCCGGAGGAGCCAUGGACUGCAGCCUCGUGCGGACGCUCGUGCACAGAUACUGCGCCGGGGAGGAGGAAUGCGUGGACAGCCGGACCGUGUACGUGGGCCACCGCGAGCCGCCGCCGGGCGCUGAGGCCUACAUCCCGCAGAGGUGCCCGGACAACAGGAUCGUCUCCUCCAAGUACACAUUUUGGAACUUCAUACCCAAGAACUUAUUUGAACAAUUCAGAAGAAUAGCCAACUUUUAUUUUCUUAUCAUAUUUCUGGUACAGCUGAUCAUCGACACGCCCACGAGUCCAGUGACGAGUGGCCUCCCGCUGUUCUUCGUCAUUACUGUCACAGCUAUCAAGCAGGGCUACGAGGACUGGCUGCGCCACAAGGCCGACAGCGCCGUGAACCAGUGCCCCGUGCACUUCGUCCAGCACGGCCGGCUGGUGCGGAAGCAGAGCCGGAAGCUCAGGGUCGGGGACAUCGUCAUGGUCAAGGAGGACGAGACCUUCCCCUGUGACCUGAUCUUCCUAUCCAGCAGCCGCGUGGACGGGACCUGCCACGUGACCACCGCCAGCCUGGACGGAGAGUCCAGCCACAAGACCCAUUAUGCAGUUCAAGACACAAAGGGGUUUCAUACGGAGGAAGAUGUAGAUUCUCUCCACGCCACCAUCGAGUGUGAGCAGCCCCAGCCCGACCUCUACAGGUUCGUCGGCCGCAUAAAUGUUUACAGCGAUCUGAAUGACCCCGUGGUGAGGCCAUUAGGAUCGGAAAACUUGCUUCUUAGAGGAGCCACGCUAAAGAACACUGAGAAAAUCUUCGGUGUUGCUAUUUACACGGGCAUGGAAACCAAGAUGGCGCUGAAUUAUCAGUCAAAAUCCCAGAAGCGAUCUGCUGUCGAAAAAUCAAUGAAUGUAUUCCUCAUCGUGUACCUCUGCAUCCUAAUCAGCAAAGCGCUGAUUAAUACCGUCAUGAAGUACGUGUGGCAGAGCGAGCCGUUCCGAGAUGAGCCAUGGUACAACCAGAAGACAGAGGCAGAAAGACAGAGGAACCUGUUUCUCAGAGCCUUCACGGACUUCCUGGCCUUCAUGGUUCUCUUCAACUACAUCAUCCCCGUGUCCAUGUACGUCACCGUGGAGAUGCAGAAGUUCCUCGGCUCCUAUUUCAUCACCUGGGACGAAGAAAUGUUUGACGAGGAAACGGGAGAAGGGCCUCUGGUUAACACCUCGGAUUUAAACGAAGAGCUAGGACAGGUGGAGUACGUGUUCACGGACAAGACGGGCACCCUCACCGAGAACAACAUGGAGUUCAAGGAGUGCUGUGUGGAGGGCCACGUGUACGUGCCGCACGCCAUCUGCAACGGGCAGGUGCUCCCCGCCGCCGCCGCCAUCGACAUGAUCGACGCCUCCCCGGGCGCCGGCGGGCGGGAGCGGGAAGAGCUGUUUUUCCGGGCCAUCUGCCUGUGCCACACCAUCCAGGUGAAGGACGGCGACGAGGCGGACGGGCCCAGGAAGUCGCCGGACUCAGGAAGGCGCUGCGUGUACAUCUCAGCCUCGCCUGACGAGGUGGCUCUGGUCGAAGGCGUUCAGAGAUUGGGCUUCACGUACCUGAGGCUGAAGGACAAUUACAUGGAGCUGCAAAACAGGGGCAAUGACAUUGAGAGGUUUGAAUUGCUGGAAAUUUUGAGCUUUGACUCAGUAAGAAGGAGAAUGAGUGUAAUUGUCAAAUCUGCUACAGGAGAAAUUUAUCUGUUUUGCAAAGGAGCAGAUUCUUCAAUAUUUCCCCGAGUGAUAGAAGGCAAGGUGGACCAGAUCCGAUCCAGAGUGGAGCGCAACGCAGUGGAGGGGCUUCGGACCUUGUGCGUUGCCUACAAAAGGCUCAUCCAAGAAGAAUAUGAAGGCGUCUGUGAGCUGCUGCAGGCUGCCAAAGUGGCACUUCAAGAUCGGGAAAGGAAGUUAGCAGAAGCCUAUGAGCAAAUAGAGAAAGACCUUAUCCUGCUCGGUGCUACGGCCGUGGAGGAUCGGCUGCAGGAGAAGGCGGCCGACACCAUCGAGGCCCUGCAGAAGGCGGGCAUCAAGGUGUGGGUGCUCACGGGUGACAAGAUGGAGACAGCAGCCGCCGCCUGCUACGCCUGCAAGCUCUUCCGCAGGAAUACGCAGCUGCUCGAGGUCACCACCAAGAGGCUGGAGGAGCAGAGUCUGCACGACGUGCUCUUCGAGCUGAGCAAGACCAUCCUGCACUGCGGCGCCAGCCUGACCCGCGACAACUUCUCAGGACUCUCAGCCGACGCGCAGGACUACGGUUUAAUUAUUGAUGGUGCCGCGCUGUCCUUGAUAAUGAAGCCACGUGAGGACGGGAGCUCCAGCAGCUACCGGGAGCUCUUCCUGGACAUCUGCCGGAACUGCAGCGCCGUGCUCUGCUGCCGGAUGGCGCCCCUGCAGAAGGCCCAGAUUGUUAAGUUAAUCAAAUUUUCAAAAGAGCGCCCUAUCACUUUAGCGAUUGGUGACGGCGCCAAUGACGUCAGCAUGAUCCUAGAGGCCCACGUGGGCAUAGGCAUCGUUGGGAAGGAAGGUCGCCAGGCUGCCAGGAACAGUGACUACGCGAUACCGAAAUUUAAGCAUUUAAAGAAGAUGCUGCUUGUUCACGGGCACUUUUACUACAUUCGAAUAUCGGAGCUUGUGCAGUACUUCUUUUAUAAGAAUGUCUGCUUCAUUUUCCCUCAGUUUUUAUACCAGUUCUUCUGUGGGUUUUCACAACAGACCCUGUACGACACUGCCUACCUGACGCUGUACAACAUCAGCUUCACCUCCCUCCCCAUCCUGCUGUAUAGCCUGAUGGAGCAGCACGUCGCCAUGGACACGCUCAAGAGGGACCCUGCCCUCUACAGAGACAUCGCCAAGAAUGCUCUCCUCCGCUGGCGGGUGUUCAUUUACUGGACGUUCUUAGGCGUGUUCGAUGCUCUGGUGUUUUUCUUCGGUGCUUACUUCAUGUUUGAAAACACAACCGUGACCAGCAACGGACAGAUGUUUGGGAACUGGACCUUCGGGACGCUGGUAUUCACGGUGAUGGUGUUUACGGUCACCCUGAAGCUGGCGCUGGACACCCACUACUGGACUUGGAUAAACCACGUUGUGAUCUGGGGGUCGCUGCUGUUCUACGUCGUCUUCUCCCUCCUCUGGGGAGGGAUUAUCUGGCCGUUCCUCAAUUAUCAAAGGAUGUACUAUGUGUUCAUACAAAUGCUGUCCAGCGGCCCCGCCUGGCUGGCCAUCGUCCUGCUCGUCGUCGUCAGCCUCCUUCCCGACGUCCUCAAGAAAGUGCUAUGCCAGCAGCUGUGGCCCAGCGCCACCGAGAAAGUCCAGAGGAGCUCGAGCCGCCGAGCCCCGGCCGACGCCACGCCAAGCCCUGACCGGCCUCUCCUGAUGGACCCCGAGCCGCGGCCGAGGCGCGAGUAGCUGGCGGAUAGGUAACGGCCACCCGCGGGCAGCCCGGUGUGCUGUGCUCUUGCUGACUGCGCGGUUUUCCUCCAAAGUUUUGCGUGCUGUGCUGUGUCUGUUAGGUUCACGGUGACAAAGAAAGGCUUUUACACACGUGGGUUCCAUCCCAGACCGCGUGCUUGGUGUCAGGACCACCUCUCGGGAGUCACCCACUUGCCUCUCUGUAGACCCCAGCCCUGGGCAGCGCCCUGGGAGGGCGGGGGGCGCCAGGCCCCCUCCUGCUCGGCCUCUCCCAACCCCCGCGUCCCCACCCGGCUAGAGACCCUGCUCCCGUGGCCCGAGGGGAGACCGGAUGCACGGAUCACGGGUCCAGCCGCUAAGAGCCGCGCGGUGAAGGGGACAGGACAGGCGUCCCCGGGCGGCGACCAGGCAGGACGCACGCGAGCCCUCGGUGCACCCGGUGGGAGCCGGAGGACGUCUGCGGGGGAUCGCGGUCCCCCCCGGGUGAGGCCGCACCACGACCUCCUGGGAAGCGCAGCUGAGCCUUGCAGGCGGCGUCGGGUCUGGCCCCUCCUCCCGGGCCCCAAAACCUCUGCUUUCGGAACCAGCCCACGGACAUCCCAGGACCGGCACACCUCCCUCCCGUCCGUCCGCUGCUGUCGCCGGGACCUGCAGUAGCGAGGCUGACCGCGGACGUGUCUGGUCCCACGUCCCUUCCUCCGAGGGGCUGGGGCCUGUGUGCUUCGGGCACCGCCUUCUGCCUCCCCCCAGCUGCCUCUGCGAAGAGGGGAACCGGUCCAGUAAAGCUUCCGGCACAGGUUCUGGGCGAUUCAUCGUCCUGCUCCCGAGGACACGGCUCACCGGGGUGCCCUCACUGCGAAAUGCCCGUUUUGGGGUUGAGGGGAGGGGUGGGGCCUGGGUGCCCGAGGCCGGCCUCUGGUUGUGGUGCUCAGGCCCCCAUCAAGAGCGGUCGGUCUCCCGGGCGGUGUUGUCCCCCAGAUCUGUGUUAGGCCCACAGGGCUGACAAGGUGGCCUGGGCGACCUGAAAAGCAAUAUCGCUGCCCUCGCCGCCACCGCACUGGCUCUGACCGAACCCUGCUCUGCCGGGGGUCCUAUCCGUGUCUCCUUGGGGGGGGUGAACCGUCAGAAGGCAGCUGUGCUGUAAACUCCCUGUCACUUUCCUGUACCAGUAUCUUAUUUCUAGAAAUAACCCGUUCGACAUAGCCUUAAUAGUCCGUAAAGAAGACAUUUCAGUUUGAGAUUCAAACUUCAGAGGGUAAAACCAAUGGCUUUUUAGGAAGGGGUCACCCAGAAGCUAACCAUUGCCCCCGCUGGAUGCAUGGGUGGGAUUUAGGGAUGUUGGUUGGGGAGUGAACACUGAGUCUACUUCCGAGAUGCUUGACGUUAGGGAUUUCAGGAAGUUCAAAUUUCAGUUUGUACAAUGUUCACCUAUAAACUACUUGUUUAAACGAGGGGAUGAGUUAACAGCAAGAACAAGGGUACACAGGUAGUCGGGGUGAAGCAGGUGAAGUAUAAACAUACCAAAGACUAGGAUGGUGGAUGUGGGGCUUCCAGUGGGACGGGGGUGGGAGGGCGUGUCUGUCUGAGGGCCCUCCAGCCUCCGCCCUGCCCUCUGUCACCCACGCUCCACGUCCGGUGUGUGGUCCACACUAGACCCUGCAAACAACGGUGUGUGCAUUUUUACAGUCGUUUUUAAGAACCUAAAAUGGGUAUAAAUGUAAUACGUGUGGGGGACAGAUUCUCUGUACGUUUAGUUAACAAAUUGUUUGUAAUGUAUUUUUUUAGAAAUCUUAAAAUUCCCUUUGCACUGAAGUAUUUUCAUAGCUGUUUAUAAUCUCUUUUCUUCAUUUAUUUGUUAAUGUAUCAUAUCUAAUUUUUAAAGUAUGUUUUUAAAGCUUUUAUUUUUUAAGUUGAUGACAUUUUGGCCACUUUACAUUUGAAUUCUGAUGAACAUUUUGGCUGAAUGUCUCAAUAUCUGAUGAAUGUGAAUUUUCAGGUUUGAUUUUAUUCUCUACACCUGUUUAUUUUUGGUGUUUCUGGCGGUAGUGAGUAGCUAAAAGGCAUAUUUAGAGUAUGAUAAUUUGCUAUGCUCUUUCUUCACAGUUCAUUGCCAUUUCAUCUGCUUUUUAUUUGGUUUUUAAUUUCUAUCCUUCAGCCUUAAAAUAGAAGCUUCUUGACGGUUCUGUGUCCUCUUUUUGCCUGUAUUGAGACGGUUACCAUUUACCUCGGAUAAGUCAAGUCUCCUUAUGAAAGUUACUGACCUUUACAUGCUUCAAAAAGUCUUUUUAAAAUUGUUUGGGAAAUUAUUAAGUGACUGUGCCUGAUAAUUUGAAAUAGGCGAGGGGCAUGAGAUCAAAAGUAAAGUCAAAGGAGGGACAGGAGAACCCACCGAAGUGACAUUUCAGACAAGACAGUGAGAUUCCCACCUGACAGUGGGCAGUACUUACUUGCCUUACACUAACCUUAAAGCAAGUAAUUUAAGCAUUUUCCUUAGUUUUGAAAAUCUUACAGCUGCACGUUAAUCACUUAUUAACAUUUCCCCCGUUGGUCCAGAUGUCUGGUUCCUGACCCACACGCCAUCCCCCAAAGCAAGCUGUCUGUAUGUAGGCCGUGUUGCUCCGGCCACCUCCGUUCUCCUGCUUUCAGCUCCCGGCCACCCGAGGCCGCAGGUGCACACACAUCCCACGUCCUAAGGGGACCCUGCGGGGGCCUCUGAGCCCCACCCUCAGGACAGGUGGCUGCCAGCAGCCCUCGGACCCUCCCAGCUGCAGCGGCCCUGUGUCCGGAGCUGGGAGUAAAGACCCUCUCUUGGCAACUCCUGUUAGAACCCAAAUCAGCCCAUUCCUGUGCCCUUGGUUCCAUGGGGUGAACGCAGACCAAAUGACCCGCGCCCCCCUCCCCCGGGGGGGGGCCGUGGCCCCGUGAGACCCACUGGUGGCAGUGCCGGGCCGCGGGAGGAGCCCAGAAACACCACCUUCUGCAGUAACAGGUUUAUAGAAGCAUAGUUCGGCCUGGUGAGAUUUUGCAGCUUUAACUACAGAACUGCCUUGCACAUGCUGUGUAACUAUUCUUAAGUUCAUGGGCAUCAACCAAAAGUUCAGGGCAACCUAAGGGAAGUUUCCGGCCUUUUUCUUUAAAACCACUAAGUUCAUCUGUUUUGCACUAUUAAUAACGUAAUACAACCACUUCUGCUUUAUCUUUAAAUUAAUGGUAUUUAUUUGACAACUCAGUGUAACAGCUUGCUAUGCACUUUCUUUUGGAAGUUUCCCAUUUGUAACUUUAAAAACAGGAAAAAUGUCAGCUGGCAAAUGCAUUCUUUUUUUCCUUUUUUUUUUUUUUUUUUUUUUUUUAGUUAGAGGGUAGGUGAAUGGGGGUGAGAAUCAUUCUGAUUGUGUAUAAACAAAGCUUUAAUGAAGAUGUGUCAGAGAUCCUACUUUUGCAGAAAAAAAUCUGAAGAUCAGUUUAUAUAGCUUUAUUUUUUACCUUAUCGAAAUAUACAGAAUUUUAAUAUGCGUAUAUUGUCUCUGACUUAAAGUUAUAAUGUGUGUCUGCAUUGCUGUUUAAAAUGUCCAUUCAUUAUGUAAUGUAAUAAAAGAAUCUUCAAAAAUGUAUUUAACACGAAUGUUAUCUCUAGGUGUUGUCAUCGUAAAUACUGGAAUUUAUUUUUAAAUUAUUGAAUAUAGUAGGUGCGUUUAAGGUAAUAAAUCAGCCUCCAAACAGUAAUGUUUAAUUGAUAAUUAUUUAUUAACCUGCUUUGAAAAAUUAAAUUGUGAAUUAAACCAAAUCUUAAAUUUCUGUAGAAUUUAUUUUGUAUGCUACUGUUCUUAACUUUUAUUUCUGUAGAUAAAGUAUAUCUUCAUAAUACGAAUUAUGAUUGGACUUUUCUGCAGAUUAUCUAAGCAGGAGACCUGA
RNA transcript from Balaenoptera acutorostrata (minke whale), 7756 nucleotides. It is a transcript of the gene named ATPase phospholipid transporting 11A, with no coding region annotated. NCBI's taxonomy places the organism in Eukaryota, Metazoa, Chordata, Mammalia, Artiodactyla, Balaenopteridae. The record is from RefSeq and is a predicted model, not a curated record. The transcript is spliced from 30 exons.